This 343-nucleotide long non-coding RNA is filed under the name Brassica napus (rape). RNAcentral's name for it is "long non-coding RNA (BNAP_LNC013525)". Lineage: Eukaryota; Viridiplantae; Streptophyta; Magnoliopsida; Brassicales; Brassicaceae. The record is from RNAcentral.
AUGUAUCUCCAAAGGCCAACUUGUUUUUUUUUAAAAGAAAGAGAGAGAGAGAGAGAGAGAAAGAAAGAGAGAGAGAGAGAGAAGAGGAAGGGAGAAAGCUUACCUGAGUUGCCACCGCGCCUCGAGACCACGUUGAGCUCGUCACCACCGUCCGCUGCAGCUUAGAAUCGCCGGAAACCGCCAUGCAGUUAAGCUUAGUUUCGUCCGUUUAGUAAUUCGACAAUAACUUUCUAACCGUGAUGAAUCUCGUGAAUCCAAGACCACCAUCGUGUUCCUCUCGUCGAGACGAAGCCGUAGACACCAAGCACGCCUCAAACGGAGCCCGGACGAAGCCGCACGCGCC